AGGUGUGGUGAUGUGUUGAGUGUAGCAUGACACAGCAGCUGUUGAUCAGAGCCACAGCUGAUCCAGGAGCGAAUGCUGCUCGAUAACACACUCAAACAUUCAACAUCAGUACUGUCUGCUCCAGCGAUGCUAACAGAGAAGAGGAAGCGUCAGCGCGCUGAAGGGGAUGGCGAAAGCGCUCAGAUGCCUCAGGCCAAGCGACAGAGUUCAGCUCUCCAGAGCUCAGAGACGGCUAGAGAAUCAUGGGAGUCUGAGUCUUCCAGCAGCGAGGGCAGUUGGGUCAGCAGUCCAGAUCACGCCGCAGGGAGCAGCAGCAGUAGUCACUGUGGAGUGGACGUUAUUGGGCCCCACAGCUGCCACGACCCCUGCAGUCCCCACAGUGCCUCCAAGCAGCCGGACCCCGUGGACCCGCUGUCCUACCAGCACAUCAACCGUGUCCUGAAGGAAGCCCAUUUCCACAGCUUACAGAGCCGGGCUCCGUCCAAGCAUAGAUCUCUCUGCUAGAGCUCAUCUUAUCUUGAUAUUUAAUUGGAUGGAAAACAUGCCCUGGUACUGUAAGCUCUUCGACUAACUAGAGCACAACAGUGAUUUUUGUAAGCAAUAACAGCUUGACUACGAUGCAAACUUUUGUGACUUCCACACUGUGUAUUCUUCUUCUGAAAACAGCUGGAUUGAGAGUGAUGAGGGGGGGGGUUUGCACUUGGGAAUGGGUUGAUCAGAUAUUGACGUGGACCAUAUAGCAAUUCAGCCGAGCACAUUUAGAUGGGAGGCUUAAACAUGCCAAAAUAUCCCAAUGCACUUCUGAUUGGUGAACUCCAUCGCAGUGCCGUAACUAAUGCAUAAAGCAGCCAGUCGAUUUCAUCAUAUCAAAGACUGCGCUGGUGGCAUCAGGUGUAAUCUUGACACGACCAUCACUGAAGCUGGUUGCUCAUCCAAGCAUCACGCCUUCGACACCCUGCAGAGGUUUGCUUGUGUGCCGUUCAAAUGCUAGAUUUGAAAGAUCUGUUGUUUAUUUUACUAUACCUUUUUGUAUGGAAAGAUGUACAUUACAGUUUACAUUCAGAUCAUCUACAUUUCUAAAUAAAGAUGUGUGUUCUUAAGCAAAUCUGCGUGUUUGACUGGUGUGAUUGAUUAACUGAAAACAGUAUAGCUGUAGAAUAAAAUAAGCUUUUUUUUGCACUAACAAACAGAUCUAUUUAGUGUCCUUCACUACAAUAUACUUACAUUUGAAUUAAUCAUUAGGUACGAUGCACUUAUUGAGUACAAACAUGUUUUUACAUUGUACUUUUAUUUAAAAAAUACUUGCAUGUAAUUAUGUGUGUAAUUAAUUUAUAAUUGCACUGUUGAGAAUUCCUUAAGUCUCAGCUUAAAUAUUGCGUAUUGGUAUUAUGCCAUAAACCUUACAUAUAAUGGUUUUAUAAUCCAUGACUUACAGUUUUGCAUUGUACUGUACUUUCUGAUUUGAUGGAGUGCUUCAUGGAGUUUCUUUAAGUACAGAGUCUUGUUUCUUUGGCUUUCUGUCUGUAUAGCUGCAUUCUGUAUUUUUCUGUCAUAGUACAUAAUAGAUGACAGAUCCACUGCUUUUCUGGAUGUGUGGUGAAUUACAGCUCAGUGCCAGACCAGACAUUAAUGAGAGAUGAUCUGUGCUUCGAGGAGUUGUGGGAAAAGGUCAUUUUAAUUAGAGCACUACAUGUCCUUGUCUUGCGCUGCAUAACUGAUUACAUCUAUUAAUUUGCCCCUGGCUCCCCGUCUCUGCGUCCUCAUUAGAGCUCCUGCAGAAAGCACAGGUCUUCCUUCACUGCACGAGCACGACAGGGGUGUCCAAAAUGACCCUGGAUCAGUUUAUCAGGUCUUGAUUUGGAUUAUAUUCUCCUGUACUUGAUAUUUGAUACUGACUAGAUUACUGACAAAAGUGCAUGUGUUGUUGCCUGUGAAAUGCUAUGUUUGCUAGGCAUUUUGAAGAGUGUUUUGUGUAGAUGCUCAAUAGACCAUCCCAAAAACUUAAAUUAAUUGAAGUUUAAAUGAAUCUGAUUAAUUUAGACAAUUUAUAAAGGGCUGAAGAAAAGUUUUCAGAACACAAUGGACUCAAUGAACCACAUUCACUCAUCAAAGAAGCACAAUAAAUCAUAUACAGGCAUUUAACAAUAUAAUAUUAAGGUGUAAACAUUGUUAAAUUGUACUUUAGUAGAACCUGAAUCGGGUGUUUUAUCACAAUUACCCAGAAGCAUCACAAUGGAUACCAGCAGAUGGCAGCAGACGUAUUAACACUCACUGUGCCACGUGUAAUUCUGUCAUUCAGAACUGUUACUUCAUUUUUUAAUAUAAGACAGAUAAAUAAGAAGCAUUUAUGAUGAACCUGUUAACUACGGAGACUAAUGUUAUGGUGAAGCCUGUAGAGAGUUAAAUCAGCUGUCCUUGUUCUGGUGUCUGGUGCACAUACCUUGUUUUAUUUUUACCAUCCACCAUUAAAAUCUGGGUUACACUCAAGGCCUUUUGGUCCUUGUCCCGUUCCUGAAAUGAGAGACUGAAGCCAGAAUAUACGACUAUAGCAGUUUAUAAGGCCUGCGUGCAUAUUCAGCAAGGCCAACAAAAUCUUCACAGUUUCAAGUCAACAUGUGAUGCUAUCUGGGAUUUACUUUCUUAAUACACAUUCUGCUCUCCCAUGCAUCAAUGCAUGUUAUUUCAAACACAAUACUACUGAAUCAACUUUAUUGUUUUGCUGAUGUCACAAAUCCCUCUCACCUUUCACCUCCAUUUAGAAAAUAGAUAGAGAAGUCAUCAAAAACUCAAAAUAGGAAAGAAGGUUCAGCUCUAGUAAAAAGAGCCUUACUUGACAAAUCAUAGGCCAUUAUGUGAAACUGGAAUCUGAAACGAAUCCAGACUGACUGGCCUGGUGUGAAGCUGGCACAAGAAGAGCUAGCGGUCCUCAGUCGUAAGCCAACACUAACAUCUGCUCCAUCAGAGGAAGAAAAGCUCUCGACAGCCUCCUCCAUCCCCAUCACUCCUGCUAAUGACUGGCCACUCCUGUCAUUAAAGCCUUAUUACUUUAAUACAGAGAAGAGAAGAACACCCCGGAAAACCGCAGGGGCGAGAGGUGCAACUGUUACAUGGACACAUGAAUGGCUGGGUGUUCUGCUUGGGAUAACUAUAUUCCCAUUUCUAAUGAACACUUCUGGAAACUGUUUAUGGUUUCUCACAUACCUUACAUCAGCUGGCUGGAGGUUUAGACUAUUAACUCUCCACACAUUAGACAUACAAAUCAUCUGAAAUGUUAUUUCUUUUUUAAGCUGCUAGCUUGCCAAUGGAAGGAAGCAACUAACGAGACAAAGACACUGAAUCGUUUAAUUGAAUCAUUUUAACUUAAUAUCCAAAUCAUUUAGCUUGAAACCAUAAUAUGAUGUCAAUAUAAAGGCAUUCAUUUCAAAUUUUUAGUUCGCCCAAAAAUGAAAAUGUACUCCACUUUAAGGUGUUCCAAACACACAAGACUUCUCUGAAACACAAACAAAGAUACUUUUCAGUGAUCAAAUAUGGGAAACGCGGAAAAAGCUCAAAUGUCAACCGCGUGAUUUGUUAAAACCGACCUGGUUUGUAGUGUGUGAGAAACGCACAUUUGAGCAUCUGUGUUUACCAUAUUUGAAGCGCACUGUAUGUGCACUGAUCGUAAAAGUCAAGUGAUAAAGUUAUAAAG
Molecule: long non-coding RNA, 3688 nt
Organism: Carassius auratus (goldfish)
Lineage: Eukaryota; Metazoa; Chordata; Actinopteri; Cypriniformes; Cyprinidae
Source: Ensembl